RNAcentral lists this ribosomal RNA (902 nucleotides) under uncultured crenarchaeote. Its description in RNAcentral is "bacterial SSU rRNA". It matches the Rfam family "Archaeal small subunit ribosomal RNA", at positions 21 to 903 of the family's 1478-position model. The record is from RNAcentral. Lineage: Archaea; Thermoproteati; Thermoproteota.
ACCUUACUGCUAUCGGGGUGGGACUAAGACAUGCGAGUCAUGCGUCUCUAGCUAUGUUGAGACGCGGCAGACGGCUAAGUAACGCGUGGCUAACCUGCCCUCAGGACGAAGAUAACCCCGGGAAACUGGGGAUAAUAUUCGAUAGGUGAGGAUGUCUGGAAUGACUUCUCUCCUAAAGGACUUAGAUACAUGCUUCUAUUUCGCCUGGGGAUGGGGCCGCGCCCGAUCAGGUUGUUGGUGAGGUAACGGCUCACCAAGCCUAUAACCGGUACGGGCCGUGAGAGCGGUAGCCCGGAGAUGGGUACUGAGACAAGGACCCAGGCCCUACGGGGCGCAGCAGUCGCGAAAACUCCGCAAUGCACGAAAGUGUGACGGGGCUACCCCGAGUGCCAUCCGCUGAGGAUGGCUUUUCUUUGGUAUAACUAGCCAUGGGAAUAAGGAGAGGGCAAGACUGGUGUCAGCCGCCGCGGUAAUACCAGCUCUCCGAGUGGUAGGGAUGAUUAUUGGGCUUAAAGCGUCCGUAGCCGGCUUAGCAAGUUUCCUGUUAAACUCAGCGACUCAAUCGUUGGAUCGCGGGAAAUACUACUAGGCUAGGAGGCGGGAGAGGUCAACGGUACUUCUGGGGUAGGGGUGAAAUCCUAUAAUCCCGGGAGGACCACCAGUGGCGAAGGCUGUUGACUAGAACGCGCUCGACGGUGAGGGACGAAAGCUGGGGGAGCGAACCGGAUUAGAUACCCGGGUAGUCCCAGCUGUAAACGAUGCGAGCUAGGUGUUGGAAUGGCUACGGGCCAUUUCAGUGCCGCAGGGAAGCCAUUAAGCUCGCCGCCUGGGGAGUACGGCCGCAAGGCUGAAACUUAAAGGAAUUGGCGGGGGAGCACCACAAGGCGUGAAGCUUGCGGUUC